This is an RNA transcript of Physeter macrocephalus (sperm whale), 753 nucleotides long. It is a transcript of the gene named DNA-directed RNA polymerases I, II, and III subunit RPABC5-like, with no coding region annotated. The record is from RefSeq and is a predicted model, not a curated record. NCBI's taxonomy places the organism in Eukaryota, Metazoa, Chordata, Mammalia, Artiodactyla, Physeteridae. The transcript has a single exon.
CGGACCCGUGUCCCUUGCAUUGGCAGGUGGAUUCUCAACCACUGCGCCACCAGGGAAGCCCAGAUGGUUAGCUUUUAACAUACACUUAUGCGGCCCUUGUGGGGGGUUACUUUCUACUUUAUGCCCUGCGGUAGCGCUGUCGGUUUUUUAACAACAUCAUGGCCUGUGUAUACAUAUACGCAAGUCUGUAAACACAAGAUAGUAAAGCAGUGGUUAUUUCCAUUUGAACAGGCACAUAGGAGACAAAGCAGGGGUAGCGUAAAGACCUUAGAAUUAUGCAUGAGUUAGGAAACAGGAUGCUUGUGAAUUGAGCUUAGACAGGCACUUAAAAUCUCUGGACGCAUGGGCUUCCCUGGUGGCGCAGCGGUUAAGAAUCCGCCUGCCGCAGGCUGCCCCGGUGCCGCCGUGAUCGUCCCUGUGCGCUGCUUCACGGCCGGCAAGAUCGCCGGCAGCAAGUGGGAGGCCAACCUGGGGCUGCUGCAGGCCGAGGACACCGAGGGGGGGGCGCCCUGGAUGCGCUGGGCCUGAAGCGCUACUGCUGCCGCCGCAUGCUUCUGGCCCACGUGGACCUGAUCGAGAAGCUGCUCAACUCCGCGCCCCUGGAGAAGUGACUCCGGCUCGGCAGGCUGCGUCUCGCCCACGGCUCGUUCCCUGGAGGUGUGGGGAGCUGGAAGCAAGGCCCGCCCGCCCGUGGCCCUGUCGGCAUGGGUCUCCCUCUCUGGAAAGAACCAUCCAGUAAAUGUUUUUGAGGAC